RNA transcript from Gorilla gorilla gorilla (western lowland gorilla), 5631 nucleotides. It is a transcript of the gene named zinc finger protein 772, with no coding region annotated. NCBI's taxonomy places the organism in Eukaryota, Metazoa, Chordata, Mammalia, Primates, Hominidae. The transcript is spliced from 6 exons. The record is from RefSeq and is a predicted model, not a curated record.
GGACUUCCUCUACCAUCCUCGGGUGGACAUUUUGUUUGCUUUUCCAUUAAUCCACUGGUUUAGUCUCCAGAACGCAAUGUCAGACCUGAGGUGACAGAAAAGGGAAAACGUGAGAGAGUGUCUUCUUCCCUGAAGAGAGGUGGGCCUGAGGCUUGACAGUGGCGCUGCCUGAGUGACCUAGCCGCUGGGCUGGGCCCUGGACAGCUGAUCCCAGCUGCACUUGUCGCCACCCUUCCGUAGUCCACAGGCCUGAUGGCGGCGGCUGAGCCGAUGGGCCCGGCACAGGUUCCCAUGAACUCAGAAGUAAUUGUGGACCCUAUACAGGGGCAGGUGAACUUUGAGGACGUGUUCGUGUACUUCUCGCAGGAGGAGUGGGUGCUCCUUGAUGAGGCUCAGAGGCUCCUGUACCGUGAUGUGAUGCUGGAGAACUUUGCACUUAUGGCCUCUCUGGGACAUACAUCUUUCAUGUCCCACAUAGUUGCCUCACUAGUGAUGGGUAGUGAGCCCUGGGUACCUGACUGGGUGGACAUGACCCUAGCUGUUGCCACAGAGACUCCAGGUGGGAGUGACCCUGGUUGUUGGCAUGGAAUGGAGGAUGAAGAGAUACCUUUUGAGCAGAGCUUUUCUAUAGGAAUGUCACAGAUCAGGAUUCCCAAGGGAGAUCCUUCUACUCAGAAGGCUUACCCCUGUGGGACAUGUGGCCUGGUCUUAAAAGACAUUUUGCACUUGGCUGAGCACCAGGAAACACACCCAGGGCAGACACCAUACAUGUGUGUGCUGUGUGGGAAACAGUUCUGGUUCAGUGCAAACCUUCACCAGCACCAGAAGCAGCACAGUGGAGAGAAACCCUUUAGAAGGGAUAAGAGCAGGCCUUUUCUUCUGAACAACUGUGCUGUGCAAUCAUCGGAGAUGUCUUUUGUGACAGGGGAGGCUUGUAAGGACUUCCUAGCCAGCUCAAGCAUUUUCCAGCACCAUGCCCCUCACAAUGAGUGGAAGCCACACAGCAACACCAAGUGUGAGGAGGCCUCUCACUGUGGAAAAAGGCAUUACAAAUGCAGUGAAUGUGGGAAAACCUUCAGCCGCAAAGACUCACUUGUUCAACACCAGAGAGUCCACACUGGAGAAAGGCCUUAUGAGUGCGGUGAAUGUGGGAAAACCUUUAGCCGCAAACCCAUACUUGCUCAGCACCAGAGAAUCCACACUGGAGAAAUGCCUUAUGAGUGUGGCAUAUGUGGGAAAGUUUUUAAUCAUAGCUCUAACCUUAUUGUACAUCAAAGAGUACACACUGGAGCAAGGCCUUACAAGUGCAGUGAAUGUGGGAAAGCCUAUAGUCACAAAUCUACACUUGUUCAGCAUGAGAGUAUCCAUACUGGAGAAAGGCCAUAUGAGUGCAGCGAAUGUGGAAAAUACUUUGGUCACAAAUACAGACUCAUUAAACAUUGGAGUGUUCAUACUGGAGCAAGGCCUUAUGAGUGCAUCGCAUGUGGGAAGUUCUUUAGCCAAAGCUCUGACCUUAUUGCACAUCAAAGAGUUCAUAAUGGUGAAAAGCCUUAUGUGUGCAGUGAAUGUGGAAAAGCCUUUAGCCACAAACAUGUACUUGUUCAGCAUCAUAGAAUUCACACUGGAGAAAGGCCAUAUAAGUGCAGUGAAUGUGGGAAGGCCUUCAGGCAGAGGGCUUCCCUCAUCCGCCACUGGAAAAUUCACACUGGAGAAAGGCCUUAGGAUGGGAGAUAAUUCCGUUUCCUUGUUCAACAUAAUAACUGACAUCAGAGAGAAGCUCCAAGCAUAGGCUUUAUAUGUAGCCGACAGCCAGAAGUAGAACUUUAUACACUCAAACACUCACCCUGGGGAGGUUCUUCUGAGUGCCAGCUAUACGGGAAGCCUUCUGGAGCUAUGCUGAGUUUUCUAGACUCUUGCUGGAAUUUCGUCAAGGCAGUGCCUCUGUUAGAAGCCAUCUGUCUUUGUGCUGGAAGAGUCCUGCAUUGUGCAAAAGUAACCCCAAUGUGUUUCAAAAGACAGACCUCUGUACUAUUCCCUUCCCUGGAGGGAAUCAUCAGUAGCCUGAGGCCAUCAAGGAUUCUCACUUUUUUUCUGCCCCACUACUGGUUUAAGCAUGAGCAUGACCCAGUUUUAGCCAGAAAGAUGGGAGCUUUGUUCUGCUGACCACUGGCAGAGGUUUCAUUUCAUGGAUAUAGUUGAUCUCACAUGGCACUUGGGAUGAAUUUUUCUAGCCUUCAAGACACCUGACCUGAAAUUGGCUGCCUCAUAUUCUGGUUUUGCAACAAAUGCCUUAAUUUUUAGACUAUCUUAAAUCUUGAGGAUUCUGUUCGCUUUGUGGGUUGGGUUGAGAACAGAAUUGAGCUAAGCCAGUAUGAAGGGAAGAAUAGCUUUUGUGAGAGCUCCAACUAUCUGUAUCUCUGAAGUGAUAGUAGGAUGGCAAAGACUAGCUCUUAUUCUAGUGUCAAGCUAACUUACUUGACUGCUUCAGCUCUCCUAGGAAAGAAUGCCAGUCUUUGUAGGCCUAAUCUUUUGGUCUAUAUGUUAAGAUUUUUUGUGUAAUCGAGGUCACCCUAAGCAGUGGGCAUUUGUUGUGAUAAUCUCUAAUGUGUCUGGGAGCAACAUGAAUUACGUCCCUUGUUCCCAGAAGAUACUUCAUAUUCCCAAGGCUUCUUGAGGAGAAUUUGAACUCAUGGGACAUGUCAAGAUCUCUGAAGUCUAUUUUUCAGUAGGCAGUUGAUAUUGGCUGUCCUCCAGAAGGCCCAGGAACACGAGCUGAACAACUACUCAUGCAAGAAAGCACAGUCAUAAGAACCAGAAAACUAGAUGAGUGAUCGGAGUACCUGAUUUUAACAUAAUAUCAAGAAGAAAGGCAUUGAAGUGGGUAGGAAAGGUAGUCUUGCAUUGCUUAAACCACCCCUUUCCCAUCCCUUGGCAGACCAACAUGCAGAGAAAAAUCUGUGUGCUUGUAGAAGAGAGCGCGAAGUGAGUGUGGGACUGCAUUGGAACCUGGUGCUGCCCAGGCACAGAAGAACACAACACAGCACAAUUCUACUUGUGCCCAUGGAGACUGCAUUUACACCAGCCUGGGGCCAGAAGCAAAUUCCUUUCAACCCCCGUGAAAGGAAUCUGAGUCUCAGCUGGCACCACCAACAGCUGACCGAAGUGGCCUGGGGCCCAGAAUAAGUUUGAGUGGCAGUGAGGUCACAAGGACUGCAGUCCUUGGGCAAGCCCUGGUGCUGCAGUGGUCUCUAAGGCUGUGGACUUUGGGUGCAUGUGACCCAGCAUGACACCAGCCGUAGCAGCCAAGGGAGUGUGCCACACCCCUCCCCCAACUCCAGGCAGUGUGGCUCAGAAAGAGACUCCUUCUGCUUGAGGAAAGGAGAGGGAAGAGUACAGAUGACUUUGUUUUUCAACUUGAGUACCAGCUCAGUCAUAGGAAAAUAAAGCACCAAGUAGAAUCCUGAAGCCACUGAUCCCAGGCCUUUCCUCCUGGACAGUGCUGCUAGACCCAACCCAGGCCAGAAGGGAAUCUCUGUCGUGGUUGGUUGGACACAAGUUCUGGCUGGUUUUACCACCUGCUGACUAAAGUGGCCUCAAGCCUAGAAUAAACAUCAGUGGCAGUCAGAUAGUACUGACUGUGGACCUUGGGCAAUCCCCAGUACUGUGAUGGUCAUAGAGUCCAUGGGUUUAGACUAGCAUUACUGUGAUGCCAGCUGUGAUGGACACAGGAGUCCCUGUGUCACCUCUCCCCCAAUUACAGGCAGCCUGGUAUAUAUAGAGGGACUUCUUAUACUUCGGGGAAUGAGAGAGAAGAGAGUAAGGGACUUUGCCUGGGAACCCAGAACAUUGUCUUCUCUUUCCCACAUCUAUCUAGGCUGGGUAUCUAGGAGUCUGCAAGAUUUAUUGCAUACUUGGGAUUAUGGCACCCUCUAGUGCUGAAAUGGCUGCAGUGACCACAGCUUAGGGAACUCAGCACUCAGUCCCCUUUGAAUUCUUUGAAGGCCCUCUGAAGAAGAAUGAGUACAAGCAAGGCCAGACUGUGAAGACUGGAAUAAAUAACAAACUCUUCAGUGUUCAGACAUAUACAAAUAUCCACAAGUAUUGAGAACAUUCAAGAAAAUAUGAUCUCAUCAAAUGGACUAAAUAAGCUUCCCAGUGACCAGCCGUGGAGUGAUAGAGAUCUAUCAGAUAGGGAAUAUCUUUCAGACAGGGAAUUCAAAAUAUCUGUCUUGAAGAAGCUCAAAGAAUGUCAAGAAAACAUGAAGAAAGAAUUCAGAAUUUUAGCAGAGAAAUUUAACAAAGAGAUUGAAAUAAUUACCAAAAAAAAAAAAAAAAUCAAACAGAAAUCCUAGGGCUGAAAAAGACAAUGGAUGAACUGAAAAAUACAUCAGAAUAUAACAACAGCAUAAUUGAUUAAGCAGAAGAAUUUGUUAGCUUAAAUACAGGCUAUUGAAAAUACAGAGGAGAAAAAAGAAAAAGAAUGAACUGUGCUUAAAAGAUAUAGAAAAUAGCCACAAAAGGGCAAGUCUAAGAGUGAUUAGCUUUAAAAAGGGAGUAGAGAAAGAUGUAGGGAUAGACAGUUAAUUCAAAGAAAUAAUUAUACUUUCCAAAUAUAUAUAUAUAUUCAUAUAUAUGUGAUUCAUAUUCAUAUAUAUAUGAAUAUCCAGGUAUAAGAAAGUCAAAGAUUGCCAACCAGAUUCAACACAAGACAUAUAACAAUCAAACUCUCAAAGGUCAAAGAUGAAAAAGAGGAAAGGUAGCAAGAGAAAAGAAACAAAUAACAUAUAAAGGAACUCCAGUAGAUUUGGCAGCAGUCUUCUCAGCAGAAAUCUCAUAGGCCAGAAGAAAGUGAAAAGACAUAUUUAAAGUGCUGAAGGGAACCAUCUUCAACCAAGAAUAUUCUAGUCAUCAAAUAUAUUCUUCAACCAUGAAGGCGAAAUAAAGGCUUUCCCAGCAAACAAAAGCUGAGGGAAUUCAUCAAUACCAGGCCUGUCUUACAAGAAAUAGUAAAGAGAGUUCAUCAGUCUGAAAGAAAAGAAUGCUAAUGUGCAACAAGAAAUUAUCUGAAGGAGUAAAACUUACUGGCAAAAGUACACAGACAAAUUGAGAAUAUUUUAACACUGUAGUUCUGGUGUGUGAACCCCUCAUAUCUUUAGUAUGAGCACUAAAAUACAAAUUUAUCAAGAAUGAUGACUGAAUAGCUUUUUAGGAGAUAUAUAAAAAGAUAUAAAGUGAGACAACGAAAAGAAAAGGAGUGAUGAGUUAUAGUGUAGAGAUUUUUAGUUUAUUCUUUGCUUAUUUCUUUUCAUUGUGAUCAAAGUCAAGUUGUCAUCAGUUUAAAAUAACUUGCUGUAACUGUAAGAUAUUUUUUAUGUCUCAUGGCAACCAUAAUGCAAAAAUUUAUAGUAGAGAUACUAAAAACAAAAAGCAAAGGAUUAAAUCAUACUACCAGAGAAAAUCACUUAUCCACAAAAAAGGGAGUAAGAAAAUUAGAGAAGACUUAGAAAACAAAUAACAAAAUGGAAGUAGUAAGUCCCUAACUAUAAGAUUUAAUGUAAAUGGAUGAAAUUCUUCAACUAAAAGACAUAGAGUAGUUGAAUGGAUUGAAAAAAAAAAAAAAAGACCCAACUA